This is a long non-coding RNA of Nothobranchius furzeri (turquoise killifish), 556 nucleotides long. RefSeq lists it as uncharacterized. NCBI's taxonomy places the organism in Eukaryota, Metazoa, Chordata, Actinopteri, Cyprinodontiformes, Nothobranchiidae. The record is from RefSeq and is a predicted model, not a curated record.
AAAAAAAUCAUUAAACAUGCGCAUGCGUAUAAUGACGGACUUCGUUAAUUUCGACGGACUACAUUUGAAGACCACGACAUAUCGUCUCAACUUUAUCAGACAACACCUAGACUCUGAGAUGGACGAUGCCUGCAUGGACAGCAGCAUCUCUGAUGAAGAGGACUUAUUUGGAUCCAUGACGUCAAGAAAGGCAGAAGCAGGGGAGCUGGAGUUGGACUUUCAUAUCCAUCCACUAGAGGUUUCAAUCCCAGGAUGGUUCCAACUCCUAAACUGCAGGUGGCAACAGCAGCAGACCUCCACAGAUAAACAAUUGUUCAUACAAUUUAUUCUAUUUGAUUACUUCUUUGUUUUAUUAUUAUUAUUAUUAUUAUUAUUAUUAUUAUUAUUAUUAUUAUUAUUUUAUGUAUUCACUUUUAAUGUUUUUUUAUUGUGGUAGUGUUAAUUUGUCAUUUUGUUUUGAAUUCAAUUUAUCGCUCUGUUAUCUUGUCUUUGUAUUUGCAUCUUUGUUUCCAGGAGGACCCAGCUGUAAACGAGAUGAUUCAUCUCAAGUGGUUUU